Molecule: small nuclear RNA, 298 nt
Filed under: Marmota monax (woodchuck)
Lineage: Eukaryota; Metazoa; Chordata; Mammalia; Rodentia; Sciuridae
Description: 7SK RNA
Rfam family: 7SK RNA
About the family: 7SK was discovered as an abundant small nuclear RNA in the mid-70s but a possible function has only recently been suggested.
Source: Rfam by way of RNAcentral
GGAUGUAAGGGUGGGUAAGCCAUCUGGCUGGAACCGCUCUCAGCCACUGAUCAUCAAGGCCGAUCUGGCUCACAUGGCUGGCUAGAUGAUGUCCCCUCCCCUCUCAUGGAUCCAUAUAUAUUAUUCAUCAAAGCUGUACGUUCAAAGAGAAUGACCUUCCCAGGUAAAAAGAGGGCAUUUCUUUGGUUACAGGUGAACUAGGGCUUGUACUCCUGCUAGAAGCUCCAGACAAGCUCUCAAGGCCAUACACACACUGCAGAGUUUAGGCUUAUCUGUGCUCAUUUAGUCAACUUCCACU